RNAcentral lists this non-coding RNA (53 nucleotides) under marine eukaryotic metagenome. RNAcentral describes it as "terC RNA". It matches the Rfam family "terC RNA". The record is from RNAcentral.
GCGGGACCGGGCCCCUCUGGCGCGUCAAUGACGCGUGAUGUCGGACCGCAUCG